RNAcentral lists this ribosomal RNA (501 nucleotides) under uncultured bacterium. Its description in RNAcentral is "partial 16S ribosomal RNA". It matches the Rfam family "Bacterial small subunit ribosomal RNA", at positions 29 to 523 of the family's 1533-position model. The record is from RNAcentral.
AUUGAACGCUGGCGGCAUGCCUUACACAUGCAAGUCGAACGGCAGCACGGGUGCUUGCACCUGGUGGCGAGUGGCGAACGGGUGAGUAAUACAUCGGAACGUACCUUAUCGUGGGGGAUAACGCAGCGAAAGCUGUGCUAAUACCGCAUACGCCCUGAGGGGGAAAGCGGGGGAUCGAAAGACCUCGCGCGAUUAGAGCGGCCGAUGCCUGAUUAGCCUGUUGGUGGGGUAAAAGCCCACCAAGGCGACGAACAGUAGCUGGUCUGAGAGGACGAUCAGCCACACUGGGACUGAGACACGGCCCAGACUCCUACGGGAGGCAGCAGUGGGGAAUUUUGGACAAUGGGGGCAACCCUGAUCCAGCAAUGCCGCGUGAGUGAAGAAGGCCUUCGGGUUGUAAAGCUCUUUUGUCAGGGAAGAAACACCGGCUCUAACACAGUCCGGGAAUGACGGUACCUGAAGAAUAAGCACCGGCUAACUACGUGCCAGCCGCCGCCGUAA